UAGUGCCGAACCAAUGCUUUCUUGUGUC
This 28-nucleotide non-coding RNA is filed under the name Mus musculus (house mouse). The record is from RNAcentral. Lineage: Eukaryota; Metazoa; Chordata; Mammalia; Rodentia; Muridae.